GGGUUGUGAGGUUAAGCGACUAAGCGUACACGGUGGAUGCCCUGGCAGUCAGAGGCGAUGAAGGACGUGCUAAUCUGCGAAAAGCGUCGGUAAGGUGAUAUGAACCGUUACAGCCGGCGAUGUCCGAAUGGGGAAACCCAGUGCAAUUCGUUGCACUAUCGUUAACUGAAUACAUAGGUUAACGAGGCGAACCGGGGGAACUGAAACAUCUAAGUACCCCGAGGAAAAGAAAUCAACCGAGAUUCCCCCAGUAGCGGCGAGCGAACGGGGAGCAGCCCAGAGUCUGAAUCAGCUUGUGUGUUAGUGGAACGGUCUGGAAAGUCCGACGGUACAGGGUGAUAGUCCCGUACACCAAAAUGCACAGGCUGUGAACUCGAAGAGUAGGGCGGGACACGUGGUAUCCUGUCUGAAUAUGGGGGGACCAUCCUCCAAGGCUAAAUACUCCUGACUGACCGAUAGUGAACCAGUACCGUGAGGGAAAGGCGAAAAGAACCCCGGCGAGGGGAGUGAAAAAGAACCUGAAACCGUGUACGUACAAGCAGUGGGAGCACCUUCGGGUGUGACUGCGUACCUUUUGUAUAAUGGGUCAGCGACUUAUAUUCUGUAGCAAGGUUAACCGUAUAGGGGAGCCGCAGGGAAACCGAGUCUUAACUGGGCGUUAAGUUGCAGGGUAUAGACCCGAAACCCGGUGAUCUAGCCAUGGGCAGGUUGAAGGUUGGGUAACACUAACUGGAGGACCGAACCGACUAAUGUUGAAAAAUUAGCGGAUGACUUGUGGCUGGGGGUGAAAGGCCAAUCAAACCGGGAGAUAGCUGGUUCUCCCCGAAAGCUAUUUAGGUAGCGCCUCGUGAAUUCAUCUUCGGGGGUAGAGCACUGUUUCGGCUAGGGGGUCAUCCCGACUUACCAACCCGAUGCAAACUACGAAUACCGAAGAAUGUUAUCACGGGAGACACACGGCGGGUGCUAACGUCCGUCGUGAAGAGGGAAACAACCCAGACCGCCAGCUAAGGUCCCAAAGUCAUGGUUAAGUGGGAAACGAUGUGGGAAGGCACAGACAGCCAGGAUGUUGGCUUAGAAGCAGCCAUCAUUUAAAGAAAGCGUAAUAGCUCACUGGUCGAGUCGGCCUGCGCGGAAGAUGUAACGGGGCUAAACCAUGCACCGAAGCUGCGGCAGCGACACUAUGUGUUGUUGGGUAGGGGAGCGUUCUGUAAGCCUGCGAAGGUGUGCUGUGAGGCAUGCUGGAGGUAUCAGAAGUGCGAAUGCUGACAUAAGUAACGAUAAAGCGGGUGAAAAGCCCGCUCGCCGGAAGACCAAGGGUUCCUGUCCAACGUUAAUCGGGGCAGGGUGAGUCGACCCCUAAGGCGAGGCCGAAAGGCGUAGUCGAUGGGAAACAGGUUAAUAUUCCUGUACUUGGUGUUACUGCGAAGGGGGGACGGAGAAGGCUAUGUUAGCCGGGCGACGGUUGUCCCGGUUUAAGCAUGUAGGCUGGUUGUCCAGGCAAAUCCGGAUAAUCAAGGCUGAGGUGUGAUGACGAGGCACUACGGUGCUGAAGUAACAAAUGCCCUGCUUCCAGGAAAAGCCUCUAAGCAUCAGGUAACAUCAAAUCGUACCCCAAACCGACACAGGUGGUCAGGUAGAGAAUACCAAGGCGCUUGAGAGAACUCGGGUGAAGGAACUAGGCAAAAUGGUGCCGUAACUUCGGGAGAAGGCACGCUGGUGUGUAGGUGAAGCCCCUGCGGGUGGAGCUGAGACCAGUCGAAGAUACCAGCUGGCUGCAACUGUUUAUUAAAAACACAGCACUGUGCAAACACGAAAGUGGACGUAUACGGUGUGACGCCUGCCCGGUGCCGGAAGGUUAAUUGAUGGGGUUAUCCGUAAGGAGAAGCUCUUGAUCGAAGCCCCGGUAAACGGCGGCCGUAACUAUAACGGUCCUAAGGUAGCGAAAUUCCUUGUCGGGUAAGUUCCGACCUGCACGAAUGGCGUAAUGAUGGCCAGGCUGUCUCCACCCGAGACUCAGUGAAAUUGAACUCGCUGUGAAGAUGCAGUGUACCCGCGGCAAGACGGAAAGACCCCGUGAACCUUUACUAUAGCUUGACACUGAACAUUGAGCCUUGAUGUGUAGGAUAGGUGGGAGGCUUUGAAGCGUGGACGCCAGUCUGCGUGGAGCCAACCUUGAAAUACCACCCUUUAAUGUUUGAUGUUCUAACGUUGGCCCCUUACCGGGGUUGCGGACAGUGUCUGGUGGGUAGUUUGACUGGGGCGGUCUCCUCCCAAAGCGUAACGGAGGAGCACGAAGGUUAGCUAAUCCUGGUCGGACAUCAGGAGGUUAGUGCAAUGGCAUAAGCUAGCUUGACUGCGAGCGUGACGGCGCGAGCAGGUGCGAAAGCAGGUCAUAGUGAUCCGGUGGUUCUGAAUGGAAGGGCCAUCGCUCAACGGAUAAAAGGUACUCCGGGGAUAACAGGCUGAUACCGCCCAAGAGUUCAUAUCGACGGCGGUGUUUGGCACCUCGAUGUCGGCUCAUCACAUCCUGGGGCUGAAGUAGGUCCCAAGGGUAUGGCUGUUCGCCAUUUAAAGUGGUACGCGAGCUGGGUUUAGAACGUCGUGAGACAGUUCGGUCCCUAUCUGCCGUGGGCGCUGGAGAAUUGAGGGGGGCUGCUCCUAGUACGAGAGGACCGGAGUGGACGCAUCACUGGUGUUCGGGUUGUCAUGCCAAUGGCACUGCCCGGUAGCUAAAUGCGGAAGAGAUAAGUGCUGAAAGCAUCUAAGCACGAAACUUGCCCCGAGAUGAGUUCUCCCUGAGACUUUAAGUCUCCUGAAGGAACGUUAAAGACGAUGACGUUGAUAGGCCGGGUGUGUAAGCGCAGCGAUGCGUUGAGCUAACCGGUACUAAUGAACCGUGAGGCUUAACCUUACAACGCCGAAG
Molecule: ribosomal RNA, 2923 nt
Filed under: Klebsiella pneumoniae
Lineage: Bacteria; Pseudomonadati; Pseudomonadota; Gammaproteobacteria; Enterobacterales; Enterobacteriaceae
Also listed under: 1 other name
Description: bacterial LSU rRNA
Rfam family: Bacterial large subunit ribosomal RNA
Source: RNAcentral